CCUACGGGAGGCUGCAGUGGGGAAUAUUGGACAAUGGGCGAAAGCCUGAUCCAGCCAUGCCGCGUGUGUGAAGAAGGCCUUCGGGUUGUAAAGCACUUUCAGUGGGGAAGAAAGCCUUGGGGCUAAUACCCUCGAGGAAGGACAUCACCCACAGAAGAAGCACCGGCUAACUCCGUGCCAGCAGCCGCGGUAAUACGGAGGGUGCGAGCGUUAAUCGGAAUUACUGGGCGUAAAGCGCGCGUAGGCGGUCUGAUAAGCCGGUUGUGAAAGCCCCGGGCUCAACCUGGGAACGGCAUCCGGAACCGUCAAGGCAGGGGUCAGGAGAGGAAGGGAGAAGUCCCGGGGGAGCGGUGGAAAGCCGUGGGGUCGGGAGGAAUACCAGUGGCGAAGGCGGCCUUCUGGACUGACACUGACGCUGAGGUGCGAAAGCGUGGGUAGCAAACAGGAUUAGAUACCCGGUAGUC
RNAcentral lists this ribosomal RNA (464 nucleotides) under Vreelandella stevensii. RNAcentral describes it as "partial 16S ribosomal RNA". It matches the Rfam family "Bacterial small subunit ribosomal RNA", at positions 338 to 795 of the family's 1533-position model. Lineage: Bacteria; Pseudomonadati; Pseudomonadota; Gammaproteobacteria; Oceanospirillales; Halomonadaceae. The record is from RNAcentral.